GAUGAACGCUAGCUACAGGCUUAUCACAUGCAAGUCGAGGGGAAACGGCAUUAAGUGCUUGCACUUUUUGGACGUCGACCGGCGCACGGGUGAGUAACGCGUAUCCAACCUUCCCAUGACUAAGGGAUAACCUGCCGAAAGGCAGACUAAUACCUUAUGGUCUUCACUGACGGCAUCAGAUGUGAAGUAAAGAUUUAUCGGUUAUGGAUGGGGAUGCGUCUGAUUAGCUUGUUGGCGGGGUAACGGCCCACCAAGGCAACGAUCAGUAGGGGUUCUGAGAGGAAGGUCCCCCACAUUGGAACUGAGACACGGUCCAAACUCCUACGGGAGGCAGCAGUGAGGAAUAUUGGUCAAUGGGCGAGAGCCUGAACCAGCCAAGUAGCGUGCAGGAUGACGGCCCUAUGGGUUGUAAACUGCUUUUGUAUGGGGAUAAAGUCAAUCACGUGUGAUUGUUUGCAGGUACCAUACGAAUAAGGACCGGCUAAUUCCGUG
RNAcentral lists this ribosomal RNA (492 nucleotides) under uncultured bacterium. RNAcentral describes it as "partial 16S ribosomal RNA". It matches the Rfam family "Bacterial small subunit ribosomal RNA", at positions 28 to 507 of the family's 1533-position model. The record is from RNAcentral.